CCGAGGGGGCUAUAUGCAGUUGAGCGCUGAGGUUGGUACUUGUACCGACUGGAUGAGCAGCGAACGGGUGAGUAACGCGUGGGGAAUCUGCCUUUGAGCGGGGGACAACAUUUGGAAACGAAUGCUAAUACCGCAUAAAAACUUUAAACACAAGUUUUAAGUUUGAAAGAUGCAAUUGCAUCACUCAAAGAUGAUCCCGCGUUGUAUUAGCUAGUUGGUGAGGUAAAGGCUCACCAAGGCGAUGAUACAUAGCCGACCUGAGAGGGUGAUCGGCCACAUUGGGACUGAGACACGGCCCAAACUCCUACGGGAGGCAGCAGUAGGGAAUCUUCGGCAAUGGACGAAAGUCUGACCGAGCAACGCCGCGUGAGUGAAGAAGGUUUUCGGAUCGUAAAACUCUGUUGGUAGAGAAGAACGUUGGUGAGAGUGGAAAGCUCAUCAAGUGACGGUAACUACCCAGAAAGGGACGGCUAACUACGUGCCAGCAGCCGCGGUAAUACGUAGGUCCCGAGCGUUGUCCGGAUUUAUUGGGCGUAAAGCGAGCGCAGGUGGUUUAUUAAGUCUGGUGUAAAAGGCAGUGGCUCAACCAUUGUAUGCAUUGGAAACUGGUAGACUUGAGUGCAGGAGAGGAGAGUGGAAUUCCAUGUGUAGCGGUGAAAUGCGUAGAUAUAUGGAGGAACACCGGUGGCGAAAGCGGCUCUCUGGCCUGUAACUGACACUGAGGCUCGAAAGCGUGGGGAGCAAACAGGAUUAGAUACCCUGGUAGUCCACGCCGUANACGAUGAGUGCUAGAUGUAGGGAGCUAUAAGUUCUCUGUAUCGCAGCUAAC
Molecule: ribosomal RNA, 829 nt
Filed under: Lactococcus lactis
Lineage: Bacteria; Bacillati; Bacillota; Bacilli; Lactobacillales; Streptococcaceae
Description: bacterial SSU rRNA
Rfam family: Bacterial small subunit ribosomal RNA
Source: RNAcentral